GUCUCUGUGGCGCAAUCGGUUAGCGCGUUCGGCUGUUAACCGAAAGGUUGAUGGUACGAAUCCAUCCAAGGACG
This 74-nucleotide transfer RNA is filed under the name Paramuricea clavata. It matches the Rfam family "tRNA". Rfam says of the family: Transfer RNA (tRNA) molecules are approximately 80 nucleotides in length. Their secondary structure includes four short double-helical elements and three loops (D, anti-codon, and T loops). Further hydrogen bonds mediate the characteristic L-shaped molecular structure. tRNAs have two regions of fundamental functional importance: the anti-codon, which is responsible for specific mRNA codon recognition, and the 3' end, to which the tRNAs corresponding amino acid is attached (by aminoacyl-tRNA synthetases). tRNAs cope with the degeneracy of the genetic code in two manners: having more than one tRNA (with a specific anti-codon) for a particular amino acid; and 'wobble' base-pairing, i.e. permitting non-standard base-pairing at the 3rd anti-codon position. The record is from Rfam by way of RNAcentral. Lineage: Eukaryota; Metazoa; Cnidaria; Anthozoa; Malacalcyonacea; Plexauridae.